AGAGUUUGAUCCUGGCUCAGGAUGAACGCUGGCGGCGUGCUUAACACAUGCAAGUCGAACGGUGAACACGGAGCUUGCUCUGUGGGAUCAGUGGCGAACGGGUGAGUAACACGUGAGCAACCUGCCCCUGACUCUGGGAUAAGCGCUGGAAACGGCGUCUAAUACUGGAUAUGUGACGUGACCGCAUGGUCUGCGUUUGGAAAGAUUUUUCGGUUGGGGAUGGGCUCGCGGCCUAUCAGCUUGUUGGUGAGGUAAUGGCUCACCAAGGCGUCGACGGGUAGCCGGCCUGAGAGGGUGACCGGCCACACUGGGACUGAGACACGGCCCAGACUCCUACGGGAGGCAGCAGUGGGGAAUAUUGCACAAUGGGCGAAAGCCUGAUGCAGCAACGCCGCGUGAGGGAUGACGGCCUUCGGGUUGUAAACCUCUUUUAGCAGGGAAGAAGCGAAAGUGACGGUACCUGCAGAAAAAGCGCCGGCUAACUACGUGCCAGCAGCCGCGGUAAUACGUAGGGCGCAAGCGUUAUCCGGAAUUCUUGGGCGUAAAGAGCUCGUAGGCGGUUUGUCGCGUCUGCUGUGAAAUCCCGAGGCUCAACCUCGGGCCUGCAGUGGGUACGGGCAGACUAGAGUGCGGUAGGGGAGAUUGGAAUUCCUGGUGUAGCGGUGGAAUGCGCAGAUAUCAGGAGGAACACCGAUGGCGAAGGCAGAUCUCUGGGCCGUAACUGACGCUGAGGAGCGAAAGGGUGGGGAGCAAACAGGCUUAGAUACCCUGGUAGUCCACCCCGUAAACGUUGGGAACUAGUUGUGGGGUCCAUUCCACGGAUUCCGUGACGCAGCUAACGCAUUAAGUUCCCCGCCUGGGGAGUACGGCCGCAAGGCUAAAACUCAAAGGAAUUGACGGGGACCCGCAC
RNAcentral lists this ribosomal RNA (910 nucleotides) under uncultured bacterium. RNAcentral describes it as "bacterial SSU rRNA". It matches the Rfam family "Bacterial small subunit ribosomal RNA", at positions 8 to 926 of the family's 1533-position model. The record is from RNAcentral.